Molecule: ribosomal RNA, 1012 nt
Filed under: uncultured rumen bacterium
Lineage: Bacteria
Description: bacterial SSU rRNA
Rfam family: Bacterial small subunit ribosomal RNA
Source: RNAcentral
GCUUAACACAUGCAAGUCGAGGGGCAGCAUGAAAGUAGCUUGCUACUUUUGAUGGCGACCGGCGCACGGGUGCGUAACACGUAUCCAAUCUACCCAUGGCUCAGGGAUAGCCUUUCGAAAGAAAGAUUAAUACCUGAUGGUUUCAUGAGCCCGCAUGGACUUAUGAAUAAAGAUUUAUCGGCGAUGGAUGAGGAUGCGUCCGAUUAGAUAGUAGGCGGGGUAACGGCCCACCUAGUCGACGAUCGGUAGGGGCUCUGAGAGGAGGAUCCCCCACAUUGGAACUGAGACACGGUCCAAACUCCUACGGGAGGCAGCAGUGAGGAAUAUUGGUCAAUGGGCGAGAGCCUGAACCAGCCAAGUAGCGUGAGGGAUGACUGCCCUAUGGGUUGUAAACCUCUUUUGUUUGGGAAUAAAGUGAGCCACGUGUGGCUUUUUGUAUGUACCUUACGAAUAAGCAUCGGCUAAUUCCGUGCCAGCAGCCGCGGUAAUACGGAAGAUGCGAGCGUUAUCCGGAUUUAUUGGGUUUAAAGGGAGCGUAGGCGGGCCUUUAAGCCAGCGGUCAAAUGUCAGGGCCCAACCUUGGCAUGCCGUUGGAACUGGGGGUCUUGAAUACACACAAGGAAGGUGGAAUUCGUCGUGUAGCGGUGAAAUGCUUAGAUAUGACGAAGAACUCCGAUUGCGAAGGCAGCCUUCUGGGGUGCGAUUGACGCUGAGGCUCGAAAGUGCGGGUAUCGAACAGGAUUAGAUACCCUGGUAGUCCGCACAGUAAACGAUGAAUGCUCGUCAUUGGCGACAGACAGUCAGUGACCAAGGGAAACCAUUAAGCAUUCCACCUGGGGAGUACGCCGGCAACGGUGAAACUCAAGGAAUUGACGGGGGCCCGCACAAGCGGAGGACAUGUGGUUUAAUUCGAUGAUACGCGAGGACCUUACCCGGGCUUGAUUGCAGAGGAGAUGCAGAGAGCUGACGCCCUUCGGGCCUCUGUGAAGGUGCUGCAUGGUUGUCGUCAGCU